Molecule: ribosomal RNA, 520 nt
Filed under: uncultured Glomus
Lineage: Eukaryota; Fungi; Glomeromycota; Glomeromycetes; Glomerales; Glomeraceae
Description: SSU rRNA
Rfam family: Eukaryotic small subunit ribosomal RNA
Source: RNAcentral
AGCAGCCGCGGUAAUUCCAGCUCCAAUAGCGUAUAUUAAAGUUGUUGCAGUUAAAAAGCUCGUAGUUGAAUUUCGGGGUUAGUAGGUUGGUCAUGCCUCUGGUAUGUACUGGUCUCACUGAUUCCUCCUUCCUGAUGAACCGUAAUGCCAUUAAUUUGGUGUUGCGGGGAAUUUGGACUGUUACUUUGAAAAAAUUUAGAGUGUUUAAAGCAAGCUAACGCUUGAAUACAUUAGCAUGGAAUAAUGAAAUAGGACGUUCGAUCCUAUUUUGUUGGUUUCUAGGAUUGACGUAAUGAUUAAUAGGGAUAGUUGGGGGCAUUAGUAUUCAAUUGUCAGAGGUGAAAUUCUUGGAUUUAUUGAAGACUAACUACUGCGAAAGCAUUUUGCCAAGGAUGUUUUCAUUAAUCAAGAACGAAAGCUAGGGGAUCGAAGACGAUCAGAUACCGUCGUAGUCUUAACCAUAAACUAUGCCGACUAGGGAUCGGAUGAUGUUAAUUUUUUAAUGACUCACUCGGCGCCU